Molecule: ribosomal RNA, 307 nt
Filed under: uncultured bacterium
Lineage: Bacteria
Description: partial 16S ribosomal RNA
Rfam family: Bacterial small subunit ribosomal RNA
Source: RNAcentral
AGACAGCAGUAGCCACGGGAACACGUAGGGUGCAAGCGUUAAUCGGAAUUACUGGGCGUAAAGCGUGCGCAGGCGGUUAUAUAAGACAGAUGUGACAUCCCCGGGCUCAACCUGGGAACUGCAUUUGUGACUGUAUAGCUAGAGUACGGCAGAGGGGGAUGGAAUUCCGCGUGUAGCAGUGAAAUGCGUAGAUAUGCGGAGGAACACCGAUGGCGAAGGCAAUCCCCUGGGCCUGUACUGACGCUCAUGCACGAAAGCGUGGGGAGCAAACAGGAUUAGAUACCCCCGUAGUCCCUGUCUCUUAUAA